Populus trichocarpa (black cottonwood) is the source of this 2077-nucleotide long non-coding RNA. RefSeq lists it as uncharacterized. NCBI's taxonomy places the organism in Eukaryota, Viridiplantae, Streptophyta, Magnoliopsida, Malpighiales, Salicaceae. The transcript is spliced from 6 exons. The record is from RefSeq and is a predicted model, not a curated record.
GAGAGAGAGAUGGGGUGAAGGGUUGGGGAUGAGCUUCUUUAUUUUAUGAUCUUUUGCAAGAAAGGGAAUGGGAUUCUAUCCUCUCUCGCCAAGUUUUUUAUUUUUUUUUCCGAAAAGGGAAUGAGAUUCUAUGCUUUCUCGCGAAGGUUUUUUUUUUUUUUUUUUGGCAUACAGAAUAAUUAUAGCCCUCGAUUACAAUUAUUCUUUUUCUUUUUCUUUUACCAUCUUUAAACCCUAAAGUCUCACGUUAUUCGUGUCUCCUUACAUUUUUUAUCUCUCUCUCUAUUCUGUACUUCUUUGUGAUCACUUGUUCUGUUUCCUUCAAACCCUUCAAUGUCUAUCCAAACCCACUCAUUGUUUACUUUCUUUUCUUUCGGAAUUUGAAUGGAUUUAGCACUGUUUGAUUGGAAUUUAAAUGAAGUUAGUAUUGUUUAAUAAUUGUUGUGGUUUUUUGAGACAGAUUAUUGAUUCUUGUUCAUUUGCAGACAGGACAGGUCAAUGUUUCUAGUUAUUUUUCAUAUUUUUUAUCUCUUUUCUAAUGUUCUGCUUUGGUAUCUGAUAUUGGUAUUUUUAUCAAGGAGAAGCUAAUCAAGUUUAUAUUUUGUGAAGGACCUGAUUUGAUGUUUAUGUUCAAGUUUUGUACUCAUUGUGGAGGUUGUAUGUCAACUGGUUUGGGUCUGAUUUUGAGUCAAGAAUCUGCUUAUCUUGGAAGAGAAUCUCUACACAGGAUCCAUUGGGUGUUGGUUCAUACCAUGAGCAAUGAUGCAUUCAUGAGGUGUAAUGCCUUUCAGUCUGCACAUUGUCCACCCAUCCGCAGUCAGUUCCAUUGGCUGGCCUGCAAAAGAGCAUGCAUAUCUAUAUCUGGUUAACUUGAUAAAAUGCCGUAGGUAGUUUAUGGUACCAUCAUAACCAGGCAUGCUUCAUAUUCUUUGAAUCACUCUAGAGGCCAGGUUACAGCUUGGAUUGGUUGGGGACUCUUUAUGGGGGUAUAAACCGGCUACAAUUUGACAAACUAUAUUCAUAGUUGCGGGUUUCAAGAUGAUAUUCUGGUUUAAUGGAUCAAAUGCUAUUUGCUGUUCCUACUAAUGGUUAAUCAUGGAGCAGGUUGAGCCUAGAAGCUCUCCUACCUAGUGGAUGGCUUUCAGGUAUAUUCUGGGUAUGCAAACUCAAGGCAUCGACAGCAGAUGGAGCGAAACGCGUUGAAGAUGGUAUUGUUUAUCUGGACGCAACCAUUCAUCUGCCUUUAUUUCUGAUUUUCUGCUAUUAUUUUCCAUGUAUUCGUGGUUUGACGAAUACUUUUGAUGGCUUGGCUUGUUUGCGAAGUAACCCUUAAUAAUUAUUUCAUAUUCAAUUACGUUUCCAAGUUCAGGAGUGAUUAAUUUCAAUUGCGGCUGUCUAUUACAGAAGUUUCAAGGAUUUGCCAGCGUUAGGCAAGUGAUCUCUGCUCUUGUAUUUUUAUGCCCGAAGUACCCACUUUGAUUCCCCAAAGAUACAGAAUAGGAACAACAUUUUGCUAUGGCCGGCUUUCCUAAAUCUCUUCAUGGAUUUUAGAAUUAGCGGCAUCUUGUUCUUCAUUCUCUGCCUCUCUCAAAAGUAGCAGUGUGCUGGACUUGAUGAAAGCUGGAAGCCCAUCUAUGAGGAGAUUAUUUGACAUGGAGCACACUAGUUUGGCAACCCAUUUUCAGGAUUCCAGUGGCUCGCCGAUAAUAAAUCCUAUCCCUCUAGGGAGCAGUGAUACUGAUCCAUGGGCAUCCAUCAGACAGACUGGGACUUCUGGGUCCGAUGAACCUGGUAACUUUACUUCUGGUAGCGGCAGGAAUGGCCACUUUGAAUCCAAGGAUAGAAAGGCAAAGAAAAGCAAUCACAAGUUAACCAGGAAAAAAUCGUUUCGGAGUUUGCCAGGACUUCGUUUAUGGAGAUUUAGGAGGCCUAGUUUCAGGUUGGGACUGAAAAGGCUUAGGAUUAGGAUUUGUGGUAAGAUUUCCUGAAAUUAGAAUGUAACCUUAGUUCGUUUCCUGUUCAAGAAAAGAAAAGAUCAUAACCUUUUUAUACAAAAUCAAAAUGUUGAAGGAAACAA